CCUACGGGAGGCAGCAGUAGGGAAUAUUGCUCAAUGGGGGAAACCCUGAAGCAGCAACGCCGCGUGGAGGAUGAAGGUUUUCGGAUUGUAAACUCCUUUUGUUAGAGAAGAUAAUGACGGUAUCUAACGAAUAAGGACCGGCCAAAUCAGUGCCAGCAGCCGCGGUAAUACGGAGGGUGCAAGCGUUACUCGGAAUUACUGGGCGGAAAGAGCGCGGAGGCGGGAUAGCAAGUCGGAUGUGAAAACCUAUGGCUUAACCAUAGAACUGCAUUUGAAACUGUUAUUCUAGAGUAUGGGAGAGGUAGGUGGAAUUCUUGGUGUAGGGGUAAAAUCCGUAGAGAUCAAGAGGAAUACUCAUUGCGAAGGCGACCUGCUAGAACAUAACUGACGCUGAUGCGCGAAAGCGUGGGGAGCAAACAGGAUUAGAUACCCUUGUAGUC
This 440-nucleotide ribosomal RNA is filed under the name uncultured bacterium. RNAcentral's name for it is "partial 16S ribosomal RNA". It matches the Rfam family "Bacterial small subunit ribosomal RNA", at positions 338 to 795 of the family's 1533-position model. The record is from RNAcentral.